This 509-nucleotide unclassified non-coding RNA is filed under the name Hevea brasiliensis (rubber tree). Lineage: Eukaryota; Viridiplantae; Streptophyta; Magnoliopsida; Malpighiales; Euphorbiaceae. The record is from RNAcentral.
AGAAAAGCAGGACAAAGCCGGUGGUUAGGCAGACGCCCCAUUGUUCGUGGUGUUGCAAUGAAUCCAGUGGAUCAUCCUCAUGGAGGAGGUGAGGGGCGCACGAAAGGAGGUAGACCCUCGGUAUCACCUUGGGGGAAGCCCACCAAAGCAGGAUUUCGGGCAGUUGUGGGGGUGGGGAAAGGUAGAAUUUAGUUAAUGCCACGACGAUCUAUAUGGAAGGGCAGUUUUGUUGAUGCUUUCCUGUUUAGAAUGAAAAAGAACAGAUCAAGUCUUUUGAGCAGGAAAAUUUGGUCACGUAGAUCUUCUAUUUUGCCGGAAUUCGUUGAUUGCUCCGUGCUCAUUUACAAUGGAAAAACUUUUCUUCGUUGUAAGAUUACUGAAGGAAAGGUUGGUCAUAAAUUUGGCGAGUUUGCUUAUACACGGAGACGAAGACCCUCGAGAACAAAUAAAGGAAAGGUAAGAAAAGGUAAAAAGUAAGUCAAGUCUAUAAGUAUGGCACGAAAAGGAAA